RNAcentral lists this ribosomal RNA (560 nucleotides) under Metschnikowia sp. 3 MS-2013. RNAcentral's name for it is "eukaryotic LSU rRNA". It matches the Rfam family "Eukaryotic large subunit ribosomal RNA", at positions 1 to 648 of the family's 3401-position model. Lineage: Eukaryota; Fungi; Ascomycota; Pichiomycetes; Serinales; Metschnikowiaceae. The record is from RNAcentral.
AAACCAACAGGGAUUGCCUCAGUAGCGGCGAGUGAUGUCAUAUCAAUAAGCGGAGGAAAAGAAACCAACAGGGAUUGCCUCAGUAACGGCGAGUGAAGCGGCAAAAGCUCAAAUUUGAAAUCCCCCGGGAAUUGUAAUUUGAAGAGAUUUGGGUCCGGCCGGCGGGGGUUAAGUCCACUGGAAAGUGGCGCCACAGAGGGUGACAGCCCCGUGAACCCCUUCAACGCCUUCAUCCCAGAUCUCCAAGAGUCGAGUUGUUUGGGAAUGCAGCUCUAAGUGGGUGGUAAAUUCCAUCUAAAGCUAAAUACCGGCGAGAGACCGAUAGCGAACAAGUACAGUGAUGGAAAGAUGAAAAGCACUUUGAAAAGAGAGUGAAAAAGUACGUGAAAUUGUUGAAAGGGAAGGGCUUGCAAGCAGACACUUAACUGGGCCAGCAUCGGGGCGGCGGGAAACAAAACCACCGGGGAAUGUACCUUUCGAGGAUUAUAACCCCGGUCUCUAUUUCCUUGCCGCCCCGAGGCCUGCAAUCUAAGGAUGCUGGCGUAAUGGUUGCAAGUCGC